GCCUUAGUGGUGUAAAAGUAACACACUCGGCACGUAUUCGAGAGGUCCAGGUUCGAGUCCCGGCGAGGGCA
RNAcentral lists this transfer RNA (71 nucleotides) under Stegodyphus mimosarum. It matches the Rfam family "tRNA". From Rfam's summary of the family: Transfer RNA (tRNA) molecules are approximately 80 nucleotides in length. The record is from Rfam by way of RNAcentral. Lineage: Eukaryota; Metazoa; Arthropoda; Arachnida; Araneae; Eresidae.